UACGUAGGUGGCGAGCGUUGUCCGGAUUUACUGGGCGUAAAGAGCGCGCAGGCGGUCGAUUUAGUCGUGUGUGAAAGCCCCCGGCUCAACUGGGGAGGGUCACGCGAUACUGAUCGACUCGAAGGCAGGAGAGGGUAGUGGAAUUCCCGGUGUAGUGGUGAAAUGCGUAGAUAUCGGGAGGAACACCGGUGGCGAAGGCGGCUACCUGGACCGGUUCUGACGCUGAUGCGCGAAAGCGUGGGUAGCAAACAGG
This 253-nucleotide ribosomal RNA is filed under the name uncultured bacterium. RNAcentral describes it as "partial 16S ribosomal RNA". It matches the Rfam family "Bacterial small subunit ribosomal RNA", at positions 524 to 776 of the family's 1533-position model. The record is from RNAcentral.